AUCCUAGGUCGAUGGCUCAGUUGGUAGCAUGUGAGGCUCUUAAUCUCAGGGUUGUGGGUUUGAGCCUCACGUAGGAUG
This is a non-coding RNA of Podarcis lilfordi (Lilford's wall lizard), 78 nucleotides long. Lineage: Eukaryota; Metazoa; Chordata; Lepidosauria; Squamata; Lacertidae. The record is from the annotation of a GenBank genome assembly.